AUGUCUUCGAAGAGGAGAAGAAAGAGAAAGGGCCUCAAGUUCCAACCAUUGAUUUGAAGGAAGUGGACUCUGAGGACAGAGUCGUUCGCGAGAAAUGCAGGGCAGAUCUUGUAAAGGCAGCCAAAGAGUGGGGUGUCAUGCACUUGGUUAACCAUGGCAUUUCUGAUGAUCUCAUUGAUCGUGUCAAAAAAGCUGGGCAGGCUUUCUUUGAUCUUCCUAUUGAAGAAAAGGAGAGGUAUGCCAAUGAUCAGGUUUCAGGGAAAAUUCAAGGAUAUGGAAGCAAACUGGCUAACAAUGCUUCUGGGCAGCUCGAGUGGGAGG
Molecule: unclassified non-coding RNA, 321 nt
Filed under: Hevea brasiliensis (rubber tree)
Lineage: Eukaryota; Viridiplantae; Streptophyta; Magnoliopsida; Malpighiales; Euphorbiaceae
Source: RNAcentral